This 76-nucleotide transfer RNA is filed under the name Bacteroides xylanisolvens. RNAcentral describes it as "tRNA-Ala(tgc)". It matches the Rfam family "tRNA". From Rfam's summary of the family: Transfer RNA (tRNA) molecules are approximately 80 nucleotides in length. RNAcentral also lists the same sequence under 6 other names. The record is from RNAcentral. Lineage: Bacteria; Pseudomonadati; Bacteroidota; Bacteroidia; Bacteroidales; Bacteroidaceae.
GGGGGUGUAGCUCAGCUGGGAGAGCAUCUGCCUUGCAAGCAGAGGGUCAGGAGUUCGAUUCUCCUCAUCUCCACCA